RNAcentral lists this transfer RNA (66 nucleotides) under Rattus rattus (black rat). Its description in RNAcentral is "tRNA-Thr". Lineage: Eukaryota; Metazoa; Chordata; Mammalia; Rodentia; Muridae. The record is from RNAcentral.
GUCCCGAUAGUAUAAAAAUUACUUUGGUCUUGUAAACAAAAAUGAAGAGCUAUUCUUCUCAGGACA